Molecule: long non-coding RNA, 1270 nt
Filed under: Nicotiana benthamiana
Lineage: Eukaryota; Viridiplantae; Streptophyta; Magnoliopsida; Solanales; Solanaceae
Description: long non-coding RNA (NBEN_LNC021412)
Source: RNAcentral
AAAUUAACCCCUCCAAUUACAUGACCCAUUUUGUACUUACGCAACCCAAACCCACCUCAUCUUUCCUUUUAAUCAUUGUCGUUGAUCACAGAGAUCUACGGUCCACAUCAAACCUACCAUAAUUAAACCCCCAAAUACCCCCUAACCCUAAUAACUUUGCAAACCUAGCCGCCCUUGUAUCCCCAAAUGCUCUCUAGUCCUUCUGAACCCAAGUAUGUUCCGGCUUCGUCUCACUGGCGUCUAUGGCCGUGCAAGCGCCAAAACAUCUAUAUCACCACUCCUCACCUCUCAUGGCUCUUGGGUUCAAAGAUUGGAACCUUAUCUCGAAGGUUAUCGGACUAGAGGCCCUCCGAUUUGAGUUCUGUAGUCGUGCCUGGCUUUUCUCCGGUAAGCCUUGAGGCUAUGAGUCCUUUGCUGACUCACUCAGACUGGCCCGUUCCAGGCUUUCUCGCUAUCUAGAGAUCUUUCUUUGAAACCCUAAUUUUCAAGGUUUUUUCUCUGUGUUUAUCUUUACGAUCUUCUUUAAAUCCUAGUUAUUCUCUAUAAAAUUUAAAGUAUUUCUCACUUUUUCUUCGCCUAUUUUUGUUUUCAAACUGUCGCCUUCUUAAAAUUUAGGGUUUCUCUGAUUUCUCUGAUUUCUUUGAUUUCUUCGCUUUAUCUGCUAUUCUGGGAAUUCUCCUCUAGUUCUUACUGUGAUUUGAGUACUUUCUACUAUGGCUCUGAGGCAUUUUUACUUUACUGGGUUAUUUUCUAGGGUUUCGAGUUAAUAUGUUCGUUGCUCUUCAUUAUGUUGUCUACUUUUGUUCAUCUUCAUCGAUGUUCUUCAUUAUGCUAUAUAUAUGACGGAAACCCUAAGUUUAAAGGGUUUUAUGCUUUUCUCUGUAUGAUUACUUGCUUCAUGUUAAACCAUAGCCGCCUCUAAUUUCCUUCUUAUGUGUUUCUGCUACAUGAUUUGCUCUAUAAUUCCAGUUUGCAUUUGCGAAUCUAUGCAUCUCUUUGUAUAGUCACAUUCUUCCCUUUUUCUGAAUAACCCUAAUGUGGGAAAAUUGAUUUUGUACAGCUUGUUUGAUUCUCUAAUUGGGACCUACUUUCUGACUAAAUUCAAAAUAAGGUAGUAUCUCAAUUCCUUGAUUUUCUAGGUGAUUAACUUGCAUUAUGUGUUUACCCGUGUGAAUUUCAAAACUCUUUACACAUAUUUGCCCUAUAUUUUGUGAUUGGUACUUGAUUUUCUUUCCAAAAAUAAACUGAGGUUUAUUUACCUCACGCCCGG